AUUAAGACCACCAGUCUGCACCAAAUCCUUGUGCACAAGAAGGGUUUCCAUUGAAUUGCAGGCAGCUGGAUAAUCUACUUUUGCAUCCAAGACAAUGUGCUUAGCCAUUUCCAUAUUGGCGGACUUAUCAACAUAUACAUGACAAAUUCCAUCAGCAUGACCCAGAACUGGGAUUUUAGUUGAUGCUUUGAUUUGAGAAACAAGUUUAUUGCUGCCUCUUGGGAUAACAAGAUCAAUCACAUCAUCAAGCUUAAGCAGAUCAGGAAUUUCCUCUCUUGA
RNAcentral lists this unclassified non-coding RNA (279 nucleotides) under Hevea brasiliensis (rubber tree). The record is from RNAcentral. Lineage: Eukaryota; Viridiplantae; Streptophyta; Magnoliopsida; Malpighiales; Euphorbiaceae.